This 342-nucleotide ribosomal RNA is filed under the name Triticum aestivum (bread wheat). RNAcentral describes it as "partial small subunit ribosomal RNA". The record is from RNAcentral. Lineage: Eukaryota; Viridiplantae; Streptophyta; Magnoliopsida; Poales; Poaceae.
AUGGCCGUUCAAUUUUGCCCCAUGAAUACGCACUAUCUGAGUGGGUUUUGGCAGAUCGUUGUUCUCAAUGUGCUGCAUUGCUCUUUCUGCAACAAGCGAAGCCAAUCCUUCCUCGUCAGCUACUUGCCACCAGGGCUGAGACUUCCUGUCUUGUUCCCAAGGUGGAUCCAUCUCAUAGCAUGCCUUCUUUGGUUUCUUCGGAAACAAAGGGUCAAAAGUAUUGAAGUCCAUAACCUCUUUAUCCUCGUGAAGGAAGUUAUUGGAAUUUCCUCUGCACUUGAGACUCGUUUGAGGGCACCCUUCGCAAGGUGCUUCAGAUGUUUGCUUCAUAAAAGCUGUUGA